This 253-nucleotide ribosomal RNA is filed under the name uncultured bacterium. RNAcentral's name for it is "partial 16S ribosomal RNA". It matches the Rfam family "Bacterial small subunit ribosomal RNA", at positions 524 to 776 of the family's 1533-position model. The record is from RNAcentral.
UACGUAGGUGACCAGCGUUGUCCGGAUUUACUGGGCGUAAAGAGCGCGCAGGCGGUCCAAUAAGUCGAGUGUGAAAGCCCCCGGCUCAACUGGGGAGGGUCAUUCGAUACUGAUGGACUUGAAGGCAGGAGAGGGAUGCGGAAUUCCCGGUGUAGUGGUGAAAUGCGUAGAUAUCGGGAGGAACACCAGUGGCGAAGGCGGCAUCCUGGCCUGUUCUUGACGCUGAGGCGCGAAAGCUAGGGGAGCAAACGGG